CUGGUUCCACAAGGCUUCAGUGCUGUCUGCUCUGGAGCUGCAAAAGCAGCACCGUGAUUUAUAGUCUUUCUUUGGAGAUACUUUGGUGCAUCCAAAAUCAACUUCCUGCCUGAGUUGCACUAGACAAGUAGAGAAGUCGGUAGAUACUCUGACACUUUGCAAAAUGGAAAUAACCUGUGUUUGUUCAGGUGGAAAAGGGAUGGACUCGAAGGUGCAGCAGAAGGAGUAAAAGGCCAUGGCGAGGCUGUCUCAGGUGGGAGGGAGCCAGAAGACGAGGCAAGAGGUGAGGAGUGACAGAAACACUUGGAGGGGGAAGUGCUGGCACAUCCAGGCUGUUCUCUUCUGCGUGUCACCUGACUGUGAAUGAUGCACUAAAAAUGGACGGGCUCUUACAGUCACGCAUCAACCAGACGAGGUGGAAUCUUAAAUAUUCCAGCAGCUUUUGGAAAUUUGCUGUCUAGUUUGUCUCGGUAGCUUCAUUCACCCUCUUGUGAGUUUGGUUAAACCACAGCUGCACUGAUCCUCUCAUACAAUGGCAGGUUCCAGCUGUCUGAAGGAGAUCAAAGAUGGAAGAGAGAAGCCUGGCUGCCUCCAGCCUGGAAAUUCAAUGCAGUCGAGUCGAUGUGGCUGUGGUGUCCGUGAGCCU
Long non-coding RNA from Empidonax traillii (willow flycatcher), 646 nucleotides. RefSeq lists it as uncharacterized. The transcript has 3 exons. NCBI's taxonomy places the organism in Eukaryota, Metazoa, Chordata, Aves, Passeriformes, Tyrannidae. The record is from RefSeq and is a predicted model, not a curated record.